CUUCACAGUCCCAGCCGAGAAGACGGUUGCCUUGGUUGGGGGCUCAGGUCCUGCGUAAUUUAAUCAAUCUUAUUAAAGUGGUUUUCAUACUAGAACAAGCGACAGUCUUCGUCAGUCAAUUGCUAUUGUUCCACAGGAACCUGUACUGUUUAACAACAUCAUAUAUUAUAACUUGCAUUAUGGCAACUUUCAAAAAAACGAAGAUGAGGUGCAUCAAGCGGC
Molecule: long non-coding RNA, 222 nt
Organism: Daphnia carinata
Lineage: Eukaryota; Metazoa; Arthropoda; Branchiopoda; Diplostraca; Daphniidae
Exons: 2
Source: RefSeq, a predicted model, not a curated record